AUUGAACGCUGGCGGCAGGCCUAACACAUGCAAGUCGAGCGGAAGGGGCUUCGGCCCUGAGAGCGGCGGACGGGUGAGGAGAGCGUGGGAAUCUGCCUGUAGAUGGGGGAUAGCCCGGAGAGAUCCGGAUUAAUACCGAAUUAUACCUGCGGGUGAAAGUGGAGGAACGCAAGACGUCACGUCUCCAGAUGAGCCCACGUCAGAUUAGCUAGUUGGUAGGGUAAAGGCCUACCAAGGCGACGAUCUGUAGCUGGCCUGGGAGGGUGGCCAGCCACACUGGAACUGAGACACGGUCCAGACUCCUACGGGAGGCAGCAGUGGGGAAUAUUGGACAAUGGGCGCAAGCCUGAUCCAGCCAUGCCGCGUGUGUGAAGAAGGCCUUCGGGUUGUAAAGCACUUUAAGUUGGGAGGAAGGUUCCUUGGUUAAUAUCCAAGGGAAUUGACGUUACCGACAGAAUAAGCACCGGCUAAUUCCGUGCCAGCAGCCGCAGUAA
This 494-nucleotide ribosomal RNA is filed under the name uncultured bacterium. Its description in RNAcentral is "partial 16S ribosomal RNA". It matches the Rfam family "Bacterial small subunit ribosomal RNA", at positions 29 to 523 of the family's 1533-position model. The record is from RNAcentral.